GAUGAACGCUGGCGGCGUGAUUAACACAUGCAAGUCGAACGGAAAGGCCCAAGCUUGCUUGGGUACUCGAGUAGCGAACGGGUGAGUAACACGUGGGUGAUCUGCCCUGCACUUCGGGAUAAGCCUGGGAAACUGGGUCUAAUACCGGAUAGGACGAUGGUUUGGAUGCCAUUGUGGAAAGUUUUUUCGGUGUGGGAUGAGCUCGCGGCCUAUCAGCUUGUUGGUGGGGUAAUGGCCUACCAAGGCGUCGACGGGUAGCCGGCCUGAGAGGGUGUACGGCCACAUUGGGACUGAGAUACGGCCCAGACUCCUACGGGAGGCAGCAGUGGGGAAUAUUGCACAAGGGGCGCAAGCCUGAUGCAGCGACGCCGCGUGGGGGAUGACGGCCUUCGGGUUGUAAACUCCUUUCGCUAGGGACGAAGCGUUUUGUGACGGUACCUGGAGAAGAAGCACCGGCUAACUACGUG
This 467-nucleotide ribosomal RNA is filed under the name uncultured bacterium. RNAcentral describes it as "partial 16S ribosomal RNA". It matches the Rfam family "Bacterial small subunit ribosomal RNA", at positions 28 to 507 of the family's 1533-position model. The record is from RNAcentral.